AUUGCAAUGAACAAGGGCGUAUGGCGGAUGCCUCGACACCAAAAGACGAUGAAGGACGUAGGAGCCUGCGAUAAGCCUCGGGGAGGUGGCAACCAACCUCUGAUCCGGGGAUGUCCGAAUGGGGAAACCCGUCUGUGUAUAAAAUCACAGUCAUCUAUAUCUGAAAUAACAUAGGAUAUAAGAAGUGUACCCGGCGAAUUGAAACAUCUUAGUAGCCGGAGGAAAAUAAAACAAUUGUCUCUGUUAAAACUUCGAACAUAAGUACAGGCUUUGCUUGUACCUCGGAGUUUUUUCAAAGGCGCAUUCCCUUAGUAGUGGCGAGCGAAACGGGAACAGCCUAAAGUCUUAUUACGUAACCAUAUACCUAUUUAUAGGUAUGCGGGGGAGAAGCGCAAGCUGCUGCAAUAAGGUCGUUGUGAGAGAAUUAUAAUUGAUAACUUGCGAAUAUCGAGCAGAAAGCUCUAACGGGAUUCCUACAACCACGUUUAUGCUUGAAGAAAAGGCAUAAGCGCGGAAAAGGGAUUCUUACAUUUUUAGCUGAAGGCUCUGGAAAGAGCCGCCAAAGAGGGCGAUAGCCCCGUAAGCGAAAAAAAUGUAAGCUCUGCAUAAUUCUUCUCAAGUACCAUGGAACACGUGAAAUUCUAUGGGAAUCCGGGACGACUAUUGUCCCAAGGCUAAAUACUUUUGGUGAUCGAUAGUGAACAAGUACCGUGAGGGAAAGGUGAAAAGCACCCCGGUGAGGGGGAUGAAAUAGUAUCUGAAACCAUAUGCCUACA
Molecule: ribosomal RNA, 776 nt
Filed under: Patescibacteria group bacterium
Lineage: Bacteria
Description: partial 23S ribosomal RNA
Rfam family: Bacterial large subunit ribosomal RNA
Source: RNAcentral